UCCGUAGGUGAACCUGCGGUUGGAUCAUUAACAAAUAAUUUAGGCCCCUGGCUGCCUCAAAAGGGCGAAGGGGGAAAACCUAAACAUUUGUGUGGACCAUAUCUGUCCUUGGCAGUUCGAGUGUCCUGGGUCGCGUAACUGCCUCAGGUACCUACCAAGGCUUUCCUCUCGGGGUUUGCCAAAGUUGAGCUGCCGCUUCUAGAACAAACCUUUUGUAAAUUAUUUUUGCCUGAAUUUGUUUGAUCUUUAUGAUUGAAUUUAAAUACAGCUUUUGACAACGGAUCUCUUGGCUCUCGCAACGAUGAAGGACGCAGCGAAAAGCGAUAAGGAAUGUGAAUUGCAGAAUUCAGUGAAUCAUCGAAUCUUUGAACGCACAUUGCGCUCUUUGGUAUUCCGGAGAGCAUGCCUGUUUGAGAAUCAGUAAAUUCAUCAACCCAAAGUUUUCGGAAUUUAUUCUGAGGGCUGGAAGGUUCGAUUUGGGCUUUUUGCCGCCUUUGGGCAGCAACAGCCUGAAAUUGAAUGUUACGCUCCAUUGAACUGAAAAGUUUUGGGCAAACGCAUGAAUGAGGCAACUCAGCAGUACGCGAGCCUUUGAAACCGAUCAACUCUGUGGUUGGGUGACUCAACUGAUUAACCAGGGUUUGCUGGCGUGAGCCAGCUUAUUCUGAACACUUGGUCUCAAAUCAGGUAGGAAAACCCGCUGAACCUUAAGCAUAUCAAUAAGCGGAGGAAAAGAAACUAACAAGGAUUCCCCUAGUAACGGCGAGUGAAGCGGGAACAGCUCAAUUUGAAAUCUCACAGGGUUACCUGUGUGAAUUGUAGUUUAUAGAAACGUUUUCGGGGGUGGCUCUGGCAUAAGUUCUUUGGAAUAAGGCAUCAUAGAGGGUGAGAAUCCCGUUUCUGGUCAGGUGCCCGCUCCUAUGUGAUACGUUUUCUAAGAGUCGGUUUGUUUGGGAAUGCAGACCAAAAUGGGCGGUAAAUACCAGCUAAAGCUAAAUAUUGGGGAGAGAUUGAUAGCAAACAAGUACCGUGACGGAAAGAUGAAAAGAACUUUGAAAAGAGAGUUAAAAGUACGUGAAAUUGUCAAAAGGGAAACGCUUGAAGU
This 1105-nucleotide small RNA is filed under the name uncultured fungus. RNAcentral describes it as "eukaryotic LSU rRNA". The stretch from base 674 to 1105 matches the Rfam family "Eukaryotic large subunit ribosomal RNA", at positions 1 to 429 of the family's 3401-position model. Lineage: Eukaryota; Fungi. The record is from RNAcentral.